Molecule: ribosomal RNA, 253 nt
Filed under: uncultured bacterium
Lineage: Bacteria
Description: partial 16S ribosomal RNA
Rfam family: Bacterial small subunit ribosomal RNA
Source: RNAcentral
GACGAAGGUGGCAAGCGUUAUUCGAAAUCACUGGGCUUAAAGGGUGCGUAGGCGGAACUGUAAGUGUUUUGUGAAAUCCCUCGGCUUAACCGAGGAAUUGCUUGGCAAACUGCAGUUCUUGAGGCAAGUAGGGGUGUGUGGAACUCUUGGUGGAGCGGUGGAAUGCGUAGAUAUCAAGAGGAACGCCGAAGGUGAAGACAGCACACUGGACUUGUUCUGACGCUGAGGCACGAAAGCGUGGGGAGCAAACAGG